UUAAUAAUUAAAAACUAAUUUUUCUAAUUUUUAAAUUAAUUUCCGGAAAAUCAGAAAUUAAAAUAAUUAAAACUGUUGCUAAAGGCCCCUAUAGUGACAGAACCGUCGUUAUAGGUGUUCUUGAGCCUACCCAGAUCUUCAUAAGGCAGAACCGAGUGGGCUACUUUGACCGUGAAUAACUCUCUCAUCUUAACGAAAUUGGACAAUCUAUAAAUUGGGUCUUGUAGAGGAAAUACAAGACUACAAGAUCCAACAAACAUAACCUCUAAAAAACAUCAGAUCUGGGAGAAAACGAACCUCAAAGUAGCUGCCAAAGCUGUUCUUCACGAAAAACAGCUUCGAGGUGCCUACAUUGGACCUCUAUAACUUGGUGAUCGUGUAACAUUUUUGUGCUCUAUCACUUCUAG
RNAcentral lists this long non-coding RNA (407 nucleotides) under Panax ginseng (ginseng). RNAcentral's name for it is "long non-coding RNA (PGIN_LNC007310)". Lineage: Eukaryota; Viridiplantae; Streptophyta; Magnoliopsida; Apiales; Araliaceae. The record is from RNAcentral.